GAUGAGCCACCUGAGCCAAAGAAAGUCUGAAAUAAUUAGUAAAGAAAUAAGAGGCGGGCCAGGGUUGUGGCUUAGUGGUAGAGCGCUUGCCUAGCGUGCAAGAGGCACCAAGUUCGAUCCCCAGAACCACAUUAGAAAAAUAAACAAAGUUUUAUUUAAAAAAAGAAAGAAAGAAGAGACAGAGCCAGAAAAUAGGUUUUAAGGGGAGCAUCUGAUAGGACCUUCAGUCCACAUAGUAGCUGGAACUGAACAACUAGAAAAUGGCUCCAGUCCUUUAUUUAAGGAACAGUACAUCAAAGGUAGGGAUUAGGUUUCAGAGGAUGGAGUCUUGCUUCAUGGUGUCUAAAGGUCAACAGGUUGAUUGGCAUCUUGGCAAGUCACACACUACCUCUGAGAGGCUGUGUGGCUACGUGGCUCUAGCAAGUCACCCCAUCUCCUGUGCAAUGCGGAACCUGACAGAGCUAAGUAGGAUAUCACAUGUAUUAGGCUGUUUCAAACCAUCAGGAAUGCUACUGGGAGUUCCCAGGUACCAGACUUUCCUACCCAAUGGCUUCCAUGCCAAUUAGGUUCACUCAGAUUUCUUAAGUGGCUCCUGGCACCUCAGUUCCUUAGAAUGCAAUAAUAUUUGGAGAAAAAGUCUUUAAAAAGAUAAAUAAGUUAAAAUGAGACUUUUUUUUUCUUUAAGGGUGAGUCCUAAUUCAAUAUGACUGGUGUCCUUAUAAGAAGAAAGGAGAAUGCAUGCACAAGGAAAAGAUCAUUUAUAAGUAAAGAGAUAAGGUAUCAUCUAAAAGCCAGAGAGCAAGACCUCAGAAGAAACCAAACCUCCAGAAUUGUGAGAAAAUAAAUUUAUUUUGUUAAAUCCACCCAGGUUAUGGUACCUAGCAAACUGAAAAACUCUACAUCCCCCUUUUUACUUUCCUACACCAAUUUCCACUUCAGUAUGAUCUUAUCCAAAGGCCUGAAUGAGUCUAUUGUGAUGAUACCCAAAUCUCUAUUUCCAUAUGGGGGUGGGGGGGCAUUCUGCAUUUUAAACUAAUUUUCUAUUAAAAAAUCUCUAUUCCUUGGAAAGCUGGGAAUGGAACCACCAUUUGACCCAGCUAUUCCCCUUCUCGGACUAUACCCAAAAGACCUAAAAAGAGCAUACUACAGGGACACAGCCACAUCAAUGUUUAUAGCAGCACAAUUCACAAUAGCUAGACUGUGGAACCAACCUGGAUGCCCUUCAAUAGAAGAAUGGAUUUUAAAAAUGUGGCAUUUAUACACAAUGGAAUAUUACCCAGCACUAAAAAAUAACAAAAUCAUGGCAUUUGCAGAGAAAUGGAUGGCAUUAGAGCAGAUUAUGCUAAGUGAAGUUAGCCAAUCCCUAAAAAACAAAUGCCAAAUAUCUUCUCUGAUAUAAGAGGGGUGACUCAAAAUGAGAUAGGGAGGAAGAGUAUGAGAAUAAGACUCCCACUAAAUAGAGAAGAGAGGUGGGAGAGGAAAAGAGGGAGAAGGGGAGUUGCGUGGAAGAUGGAAGGAGAACCUCAUUGUUAUACAGAAUACAUGUAUGAUGUUGUGAGGAGAAAAAGAAAAAAAAGUAUAUCACGUUAGAUUGGAUAGAGAGAAAUGAUGGGAGGGGAGGGGAGGAGUAGGGGGGAUAGGAAGGGCAGCAGAAUAGAAUAGACAUUAUGAUUACUGUAUGUAUAUAGGUGACUCUAUGACCAGUGUGAUUCUGCAAUCUGUACAAUUAGAAAAAUGAGAAAUUAUACCCCAAUGAUUCAAAUGUAUGAAUUGCCAAGAUCAUUGUAAUGUCAUGUGUAGCUAAUUAAAAAAAAUAAAAUUAAAAAAAAAGAAAGAAAGCGAAAAAAAAAAAAUCUCUAAAGUCCCCAGGUAAGCUCCUUCUCCCUCCCUCUUCCAAUCUCCCCCAGCUUGCCCCUUUCUGCAUUCCCCACUGCAGUGAAUAGAACCACCUCUGGUGCCUAAGUCAGACACCUGGAGUCAUUAUCCUAAAAAAUAAAAUUAGCUACUAUAUAUUUACUAAACCCAUAAGAGCUUUGCACACAUCUCAUCAAAUCUUACAAAGUCACAUAAAGCAGGAAUUAAUAUCCCUAUUUUAUAGCUGAAGAAGCCAAAAUUUGGAUUAAGUAAUUGCCUGGAAUCACUCCUUUAAGAAGUUAAAGAGCUAGAAUUUAAGUUCAGGUCAGUUUGACUUCAGAGCUUAUGGCUCCUGACCUCAGUUAUCCCUCAAUCUAAUCAACCCCCCUCAAACCCAUUCAAUCUACUUCCUAAAAAUCUUUUGACUUCUUCCUCCUCCUCACACCCCAAAUGCUCUUAAUUUGUCUUCUCAGUAAGUUGGGUUUUGUGGGGUUUUUGUUUGUUUGUUUUUGGUGUGUGUCGGGGGGAUGUUUGUGGGAUUUUUGUUGUUGCUGUUGUUGUUUUGUUUUGUUACUAAGAACUGAACCCAGGGACACUUUUACCACUAAGCUAAACCCCAAGCCCUUUCACUUUUUGUUUUGAAACAAGGUCUCAGUAAGUUGUUCAGGGCCUAAGUUGCUGAGAUUGCUUCAGAC
This 2549-nucleotide long non-coding RNA is filed under the name Marmota monax (woodchuck). The stretch from base 61 to 122 matches the Rfam family "tRNA". Lineage: Eukaryota; Metazoa; Chordata; Mammalia; Rodentia; Sciuridae. The record is from RNAcentral.